AAAUGAAUAGACGGGGGCCCGCACAAGCGGUGGAGCAUGUGGUUUAAUUCGAAGCAACGCGAAGAACCUUACCAGGGCUUGACAUCUACCGGGAGACUUAUGGAAACGUAGGUUGUUCUUCGGAACUGGUAGACAGGUGGUGCAUGGUUGUCGUCAGCUCGUGUCGUGAGAUGUUGGGUUAAGUCCCGCAACGAGCGCAACCCUUAUUCUUAGUUGCCAGCACGUUGAGGUGGGUACUCUAAGAAGACUGUCGGUGACAAACCGGAGGAAGGUGGGGAUGACGUCAAAUCAUCAUGCCCUUUAUGUUCUGGGCUACACACGUGCUACAAUGGCCUGCACAGCGGGUUUUUGCGAUGUCGCGAGGCGGAGCCAAUCCCUCAAAGCAGGUCUCAGUUCGGAUUGCAGGCUGCAACUCGCCUGCAUGAAGUCGGAAUCGCUAGUAAUCGCGGAUCAGCAUGUCGCGGUGAAUACGUUCCCGGGCCUUGUACACACCGCCCGU
This 499-nucleotide ribosomal RNA is filed under the name uncultured bacterium. RNAcentral describes it as "bacterial SSU rRNA". It matches the Rfam family "Bacterial small subunit ribosomal RNA", at positions 903 to 1397 of the family's 1533-position model. The record is from RNAcentral.